This 31-nucleotide non-coding RNA is filed under the name Homo sapiens (human). Lineage: Eukaryota; Metazoa; Chordata; Mammalia; Primates; Hominidae. The record is from RNAcentral.
UCAAAAUUAGGGCCUGGGGCUGCCUCUUUGA